GACGAACGCUGGCGGCGUGCCUAAUACACGCAAGUAGAACGCUGAAGGAGGAGCUUGCUUCUCUGGAUGAGUUGCGAACGGGUGAGUAACGCGUAGGUAACCUGCCUGGUAGCGGGGGAUAACUAUUGGAAACGAUAGCUAAUACCGCAUAACAGUAGAUAUCGCAUGAUAGCUGCUUGAAAGGUGCAAUUGCACCACUACCAGAUGGACCUGCGUUGUAUUAGCUAGUUGGUGAGGUAACGGCUCACCAAGGCAACGAUACAUAGCCGACCUGAGAGGGUGAUCGGCCACACUGGGACUGAGACACGGCCCAGACUCCUACGGGAGGCAGCAGUAGGGAAUCUUCGGCAAUGGACGGAAGUCUGACCGAGCAACGCCGCGUGAGUGAAGAAGGUUUUCGGAUCGUAAAGCUCUGUUGUAAGAGAAGAACGAGUGUGAGAGUGGAAAGUUCACACUGUGACGGUAUCUACCAGAAAGGAC
Molecule: ribosomal RNA, 480 nt
Filed under: Streptococcus infantis
Lineage: Bacteria; Bacillati; Bacillota; Bacilli; Lactobacillales; Streptococcaceae
Description: bacterial SSU rRNA
Rfam family: Bacterial small subunit ribosomal RNA
Source: RNAcentral